RNAcentral lists this ribosomal RNA (491 nucleotides) under uncultured bacterium. RNAcentral describes it as "partial 16S ribosomal RNA". It matches the Rfam family "Bacterial small subunit ribosomal RNA", at positions 29 to 507 of the family's 1533-position model. The record is from RNAcentral.
GUGAACGCUGGCGGUAGGCCUAACACAUGCAAGUCGAACGGCAGCACAGUAAGAGCUUGCUCUUACGGGUGGCGAGUGGCGGACGGGUGAGGAAUACAUCGGAAUCUACUUUUUCGUGGGGGAUAACGUAGGGAAACUUACGCUAAUACCGCAUACGACCUAAGGGUGAAAGCAAGGGAUCUUCGGACCUUUCGCGGUUGAAUGAGCCGAUGUCGGAUUAGCUAGUUGGCGGGGUAAAGGCCCACCAAGGCGACGAUCCGUAGCUGGUCUGAGAGGAUGAUCAGCCACACUGGAACUGAGACACGGUCCAGACUCCUACGGGAGGCAGCAGUGGGGAAUAUUGGACAAUGGGCGCAAGCCUGAUCCAGCCAUACCGCGUGGGUGAAGAAGGCCUUCGGGUUGUAAAGCCCUUUUGUUGGGAAAGAAAAGCAGCAGGUUAAUACCCCGCUGUUCUGACGGUACCCAAAGAAUAAGCACCGGCUAACUUCGUG